Molecule: ribosomal RNA, 508 nt
Filed under: uncultured bacterium
Lineage: Bacteria
Description: partial 16S ribosomal RNA
Rfam family: Bacterial small subunit ribosomal RNA
Source: RNAcentral
UGGGGAAUUUUGGACAAUGGGGGCAACCCUGAUCCAGCAAUGCCGCGUGUGUGAAGAAGGCCUUCGGGUUGUAAAGCACUUUUGUCCGGAAAGAAAACGUCGUGGUUAAUACCCGUGGCGGCUGACGGUACCGGAAGAAUAAGCACCGGCUAACUACGUGCCAGCAGCCGCGGUAAUACGUAGGGUGCAAGCGUUAAUCGGAAUUACUGGGCGUAAAGCGUGCGCAGGCGGUCCGCUAAGACAGAUGUGAAAUCCCCGGGCUUAACCUGGGAACUGCAUUUGUGACUGGCGGGCUAGAGUAUGGCAGAGGGGGGUAGAAUUCCACGUGUAGCAGUGAAAUGCGUAGAGAUGUGGAGGAAUACCGAUGGCGAAGGCAGCCCCCUUGGGCCAAUACUGACGCUCAUGCACGAAAGCGUGGGGAGCAAACAGGAUUAGAUACCCUGGUAGUCCACGCCCUAAACGAUGUCAACUAGUUGUCGGGUCUUCAUUGACUUGGUAACGUAGCUAA